AAAGAAAAAGCUAUCAUUUUUCUCUUCUCCUUCACCGAAAUAUGCAGCAAAGAAAGGGUUUUGAAGCUGGAAAAUUUCAGCAACAUAUUUCCCUUGCUUGUAAGUGAUUUUAAUGUCUUUGCUUGAUGAUUUUUACAUUUUUGGAACCCCUAAAGCAUGAGCUUUCAUAAGAGGGGACUAUUUUGCAAAAUGAUGAAGAGUCUAGGGUUUUGCCAUGAGAGUAAAUGUGUUGUUUGCUGUGUUUUUAUGGAAGAUUAUGAGUCCUAGUUGUCUAAUAAACAACUUUUGUGAAAGAAAUUACAUGAAAACACCUUAAAAAAGGGCUAGAUUGCUAAGUUGUAAAAUAAGUUGUAAUGUGUAAAAUAGUUAAAAUUAUGAGUUGCUAUAGUUAUGAAAAUGGUUCAUCUAGACUCAAGGAGUAAAGAAAUGUGAUAAAAAUUAUUUACGAGCAUUGAGGCAAAAGUGCAAAUAUGCAAAAGUUUAGGGGUCAAAAUGAAAAUUUGUAAAAAUAUGAUUUUUAUACCCAUAUGAAUAUUGUGACUGAUUGGUAGGCUAAAUGUGAUAUUAUAGAUCAAGAAAAUCGAGAUUUGGACCUAGAACAGAAAGAAAUCGAUUAAGGGAUGAUUAUGUCCUUUUCACCUUUGUGGUAUCGAGGUAAGUUUGUAUGUAAACAAUACCAUGCUAUACAUGUAUUUAAAUGUUAUCAUUACAUGAAUUGUACAGAUGUUAAGUGUAUGUGAUUAAUAGAAAUAUGAUAAGACAAAGCCUUAAUAGACGAGGAAAAAUCCCGUUUGAACCUUAGAAAUAGAAUAGGAUACGAGUGACAUGUCACUAGGAAUUAUGAGUCUAGAUGACUAGCUCGAGAGUGAGCAUUGAAACGUCAUGAGAUAUGAGGUAGCUUUAGCUACAAUUGAGGCACUUAUGUGUAAAGGCUUUUCCGAGUAUCCAAUUAGUAUUCCAAGUGUUCAACGGGUAAUCCAAGGAAAGAGUUGAUGAUGGUCCCAACGAGGUAAGUCAUUGGUGAGUAUACACUUGAGUUAUGUUACGAGUUGUGCAAGUAUGUAUAUUAAGCCUAUGAGAAUGCCUUGAUAUGUGAUGAUCUAUGAUGCAUAAUAUGUGUUCUUACCAUGAUGGAUGAAAUGAUGUUGUAUUAAUUUUGUGAACAAUGAUCAUGAAUGAGUAACUUAGCCUUGACAGAUUUGAGUUACUGUAGUAGUGAAACUUUGAAAAUACACUAAAAAUAGUGGAAAAUUAGUUAGAGGUAGAAUAAAAUAUGAGAUUAAAGCUUAAUGAGUCUAUUUUCACAUGAAAGAAACAGGGGAAGAAAAAGAAUUCUAUAUUGUGUGAUAUUUGAAUUCUUGUAAAACAGGGUCUGAAUGAAUUCGAGAUCCCCUAUUCUAAUUUUAGAAAUUCAUCAUAAAUUGUAAAAAAAUUAUUAAGAGUCAUACCUUAGAUACAUGGAUUCCUUAUUGAGUCUAUUUUUAAGGGAAACAAAUGGCAUUGUCAUUGGAAUUCUGUACAGGGAGAAAUUUGGUUUGUAGUGCACAAGGGUCAGAGUGGUCAUACCCUGAAACAGGGGAGACUUUAACUAAUAAACUGUACUAAAUGGCUUGACCAAAAAUUCUAUAAAAAAAUUAGUAAUUAUACAUAUGAGUAUAGUUUCAAGAUAAAUAGACGAGAACAUUAUUCGAAUUCUGUACUAUGAGAUAAUUGAACUUUAGUGCAGAAGGGUUUAAACUGUCAGACAGUGAAUCAGGGGCAAACUUGAGGAAUAAAUUAUACGAAUUGGCUAAGUCAAAAAUUCUGAAAAUUUUAUGAAAGAAAUAUAAAUGAGUCUAGUUUCAUGGAAAAUUAACGGAACUUAAUUUGGAGUUUCGUAGCUCCAGAUAUAAAUAAUUUAGUGACUAUUGCUCAGGAAGACAGCUUGCAGUAAAUUUGAGAAUAUGUUGUAAACAUUGAUAAAACAAGUUAAUGAGUUGCUUAUUGUUUUCAUAUGAACUUACUAAGCGAAAGCUUACCCCCCCUUCUUUCCCAUGUUUUCUAGAGUUUCCAGGUUAGCUUGGGUUGGAGGCCGUCAGAGAUAUUAUCACACUGUCGAGUUAACGCUAUCGGCGUAAGUAAACUCAAGUGAUUCUAGUCUAUGGCAUGUAUAGGGUUUUAAUGUGAGUAUGUAAUAUUAUGAUUUAGCCAAAGGCAUUGGCUUGUUAUUAAGGUAGUAUUAGUCAUGUAAAUUGGCCUAUGUCGGCUAAUAUCGUUAUGGGCCCAUAUGAUUAUUCUUAUGCAUGUAUGUUAUUAUCUCUUGUGAUGUGGCUUACAACAUGUAUGCCUAGAGAUUGAAUUGAGAUUCAUUGAUGAGCUAAUAACUAAUGCAGGAUUAAGUGAUUGGUAAAUAGUUAAUAAUGCUUCAUGAAUGGUUUGUGGAUAUGAUUAUGCAUGCUUUGUGAUGGACAUGAGGU
Molecule: long non-coding RNA, 2456 nt
Filed under: Gossypium barbadense (sea-island cotton)
Lineage: Eukaryota; Viridiplantae; Streptophyta; Magnoliopsida; Malvales; Malvaceae
Description: long non-coding RNA (GBAR_LNC008380)
Source: RNAcentral